UAAGCAUAUCAAUAAGCGGAGGAAAAGAAACCAACAGGGAUUGCCUCAGUAACGGCGAGUGAAGCGGCAAAAGCUCAAAUUUGAAAUCUAGCACCUUCGGUGUUCGAGUUGUAAUUUGAAGAUGGUAACCUUGGGUUUGGCUCUUGUCUAUGUUCCUUGGAACAGGACGUCAUAGAGGGUGAGAAUCCCGUCUGAUGAGAUGCCCAUUCCUUUGUAAGGUACUAUCGAAGAGUCGAGUUGUUUGGGAAUGCAGCUCUAAGUGGGUGGUAAAUUCCAUCUAAAGCUAAAUAUUGGCGAGAGACCGAUAGCGAACAAGUACAGUGAUGGAAAGAUGAAAAGAACUUUGAAAAGAGAGUGAAAAAGUACGUGAAAUUGUUGAAAGGGAAGGGCAUUAGAUCAGACUUGGUGUUUUACGAUUAUCUUCUCUUCUUGAGUUGUGCACUCGUAUUUCACUGGGCCAGCAUCGAUUCGGAUGGUAAGAUAAUAGCAGUUAAAUGUGGCUCUUCGGAGUGUUAUAGUUUCUGUUGAUAUUGCCUGUCUGGAUCGAGGGCUGCGUCUUUUGACUAGGAUGCUGGCGUAAUGAUCUAAUGCCGCCCGUCU
RNAcentral lists this ribosomal RNA (600 nucleotides) under Hansenula ciferrii. Its description in RNAcentral is "LSU rRNA". It matches the Rfam family "Eukaryotic large subunit ribosomal RNA", at positions 35 to 654 of the family's 3401-position model. Lineage: Eukaryota; Fungi; Ascomycota; Saccharomycetes; Phaffomycetales; Wickerhamomycetaceae. The record is from RNAcentral.